RNAcentral lists this ribosomal RNA (253 nucleotides) under uncultured bacterium. RNAcentral describes it as "partial 16S ribosomal RNA". It matches the Rfam family "Bacterial small subunit ribosomal RNA", at positions 524 to 776 of the family's 1533-position model. The record is from RNAcentral.
UACGUAGGUGGCUAGCGUUGUCCGGAUUUACUGGGCGUAAAGAGCGCGCAGGCGGUCGGUCAAGUCGAGUGUGAAAGCCCCCGGCUCAACUGGGGAGGGUCACUCGAUACUGAUCGACUUGAAGGCGGGAGAGGGAAGCGGAAUUCCAGGUGUAGCGGUGAAAUGCGUAGAUAUCUGGAGGAACACCGGUGGCGAAGGCGGCAUCCUGGACCGAUACUGACGCUGAGGAGCGAAAGCGAGGGGAGCAAACGGG